GGACGGGUGAGUAACGCGUGGGUAACCUGCCCUGUACAGGGGGAUAACAGCUGGAAACGGCUGCUAAUACCGCAUAAGCGCACGAGGAGACAUCUCCUUGUGUGAAAAACUCCGGUGGUACAGGAUGGGCCCGCGUCUGAUUAGCUGGUUGGCAGGGUAACGGCCUACCAAGGCAACGAUCAGUAGCCGGUCUGAGAGGAUGAACGGCCACAUUGGAACUGAGACACGGUCCAAACUCCUACGGGAGGCAGCAUG
Molecule: ribosomal RNA, 255 nt
Filed under: uncultured bacterium
Lineage: Bacteria
Description: partial 16S ribosomal RNA
Rfam family: Bacterial small subunit ribosomal RNA
Source: RNAcentral